UACGUAGGGGGCAAGCGUUGUCCGGAAUCACUGGGCGUAAAGAGCGUGUAGGCGGCUUGGUAAGUCCGCUGUGAAAGUCCAGGGCUCAACCCUGGAAAGCCGGUGGAAACUGUCAAGCUUGAGUCCGGAAGAGGCGAGUGGAAUUCCUGGUGUAGCGGUGAAAUGCGCAGAUAUCAGGAGGAACACCAAUGGCGAAGGCAGCUCGCUGGGACGGUACUGACGCUGAGACGCGAAAGCGUGGGGAGCAAACAGG
This 253-nucleotide ribosomal RNA is filed under the name uncultured bacterium. Its description in RNAcentral is "partial 16S ribosomal RNA". It matches the Rfam family "Bacterial small subunit ribosomal RNA", at positions 524 to 776 of the family's 1533-position model. The record is from RNAcentral.